UGAAUACGAGACGCUAAGGCGUCGAAGUAGUGUAUGUCAUACUUCCAAGAAAAGCUUGCACUGUCAUAAGUAAAAAAUGCCUGUACCAUAACCGACACAGGUGGGUAGGUAGAGUAUACUAAGGGGCGCGAGAUAACUCUCUCUAAGGAACUCGGCAAAAUAACUCCGUAACUUCGGGAGAAGGAGUACCUUAUUCUAUAAGGUUGCAAUAACAAGAUCCAAGCAACUGUUUAUCAAAAACACAGGUCUCCGCUAAGUCGUAAGACGAUGUAUGGGGGCUGACGCCUGCCCAGUGCCAGAAGGUUAAAGAAGUCGGUUAGCAUUAGCGAAGCUGGUAACUGAAGCCCUGGUGAACGGCGGCCGUAACAAUAACGGUCCUAAGGUAGCGAAAUUCCUUGUCGGGUAAGUUCCGACCCGCACGAAAGGCGUAAUGAUUUGGAUACUGUCUCGGAGAGGGGCUCGGUGAAAUAGACUUGUCUGUGAAGAUGCGGACUACCUGCACCAGGACAGAAAGACCCUAUGAAGCUUUACUGUAACUUGAAAUUGAAAUUGGACUUUAUUCGCGCAGUAUAGGUGGGAGGUGUUGAUUAUAAUCUUGCGGGAUUAUUGGAGCCAUCAGUGAGAUACCACUCUUGUAAUGUUAGAUUUCUAACUUUGAAUCAUUAUCUGGUCAAAGGACAGUUUCAGGCGGGCAGUUUGACUGGGGCGGUCGCCUCCCAAACGGUAACGGAGGCGUACAAAGGUUUCCUCUGAACGGGUAGAAAUCGUAUCUAGAGUGUAAAGGCAUAAGGAAGCUUGACUGUGAGACCUACAAGUCGAACAGGGACGAAAGUCGGUCUUAGUGAUCUGACGGUACUGAGUGGAAAGGCCGUCACUCAACGGAUAAAAGUUACUCUAGGAUAACAGGCUGAUCUCCCCCAAGAGUUCACAUCGACGGGGAGGUUUGGCACCUCGAUGUCGGCUCAUCGCAUCCUGGGGCGGUAGUACGUCCCAAGGGUUGGGCUGUUCGCCCAUGAAAGCGGUACGCGAGCUGGGUUCAGAACGUCGUGAGACAGUUCGGUCCAUAUCCGGUGUAGGCGUUAGAAUAUUGAGAGGAGCCUUCUUUAGUACGAGAGGACCGAGAAGGACAUACCUCUGGUGUACCAGUUAUCGUGCCAACGGUAAACGCUGGGUAGCUAUGUAUGGAGUGGAUAACCGCUGAAAGCAUCUAAGUGGGAAGCCCACCUCAAGAUAAGUAUUCGC
RNAcentral lists this ribosomal RNA (1242 nucleotides) under metagenome. Its description in RNAcentral is "bacterial LSU rRNA". It matches the Rfam family "Bacterial large subunit ribosomal RNA", at positions 1564 to 2815 of the family's 2925-position model. The record is from RNAcentral.